CGCUGGCGGCGUGCCUAACACAUGCAAGUCGAGCGGGAAUUCUCCGAUCAAAGCUUCGGCAGCGAGACGGGAAGGAGAGCGGCGGACGGGUGAGUAACGCGUAGGUAACCUACCUUAUGCACAGGGAUAGCCCCGGGAAACUGGAAUUAAUACCUGAUAACGCAUUUUGGUCACAUGGCCACGGAUGCCAAAGAUUUAUCGGCAUAAGAUGGACCUGCGUCUGAUUAGCUGGUUGGUGAGGUAACGGGCCCACCCAAGGCGACGAUCAGUAGCCGACCUGAGAGGGUAAUCGGCCACAUUGGAACUGAGACACGGUCCAAACUCCUACGGGAGGCAGCAGUGGGGAAUAUUACACAAUGGGCGCAAGCCUGAUGUAGCAACGCCGCGUGAGCGAAGAAGGUCUUCGGAUCGUAAAGCUCUGUCCUUGGGGACGAAGGAAGUGACGGUACCCAAGGAGGAAGCCCCGGCUAACUACGUGCC
RNAcentral lists this ribosomal RNA (480 nucleotides) under uncultured bacterium. Its description in RNAcentral is "bacterial SSU rRNA". It matches the Rfam family "Bacterial small subunit ribosomal RNA", at positions 34 to 509 of the family's 1533-position model. The record is from RNAcentral.